GAUGAACGCUGGCGGCGUGCCUAAUACAUGCAAGUCGAGCGAACAGAUAAGGAGCUUGCUCCUUUGACGUUAGCGGCGGACGGGUGAGUAACACGUGGGUAACCUACCUAUAAGACUGGGAUAACUUCGGGAAACCGGAGCUAAUACCGGAUAACAUUUGGAACCGCAUGGUUCUAAAGUGAAAGAUGGUUUUGCUAUCACUUAUAGAUGGACCCGCGCCGUAUUAGCUAGUUGGUAAGGUAACGGCUUACCAAGGCAACGAUACGUAGCCGACCUGAGAGGGUGAUCGGACACACUGGAACUGAGACACGGUCCAGACUCCUACGGGAGGCAGCAGUAGGGAAUCUUCCGCAAUGGGCGAAAGCCUGACGGAGCAACGCCGCGUGAGUGAUGAAGGGUUUCGGCUCGUAAAACUCUGUGAUUAGGGAAGAACAAAUGUGUAAGUAACUGUGCACGUCUUGACGGUACCUAAUCAGAAAGCCACGGCUAACUACGUG
RNAcentral lists this ribosomal RNA (497 nucleotides) under uncultured bacterium. RNAcentral describes it as "partial 16S ribosomal RNA". It matches the Rfam family "Bacterial small subunit ribosomal RNA", at positions 28 to 507 of the family's 1533-position model. The record is from RNAcentral.